Molecule: long non-coding RNA, 14677 nt
Organism: Meriones unguiculatus (Mongolian gerbil)
Lineage: Eukaryota; Metazoa; Chordata; Mammalia; Rodentia; Muridae
Exons: 2
Source: RefSeq, a predicted model, not a curated record
GGGCCAAGCCGCCCUUCCCAUCCCUCCGCCCGCGCUCGCCCCCCCCCCCCAGAUACUCUUUACACUCCCACCCUCGGCCCCUGUCGCCCGCAAGUAGGGCUUAGCGCGAGCGAGCGAGCGGCGGCGGGAGGACGCCUCCCCGGCCCUUUGUUCCCAAGCGGCCCCCGCCCAGCGGGCGACGCUCCGUGUGUCCUCGGCUGCGCGGGCCGAGCUAAGGUGCGCGGCGCGAGCCUGUGUUUCUGGAGGUCUGCGCUGGUGUCUGCGGUGGGGGGCGGGGGGAGGACCGGCUUGGAGCUCUAAGAGUUCUGUCCAGACCCAACUCUUAACCUCUGGGAAGGUUCCUCGGGGCAAGAGACACCGUUCCUCUCCUGGCCGGCUCGGUGCCCGAGCUCGGAGGCAGAGCCCCGCUGCAUUCACCCUCUGACCCCCGAAAUACUUCCAAAGAACGUAAACAACAGCAAAAGAGUCGGCCCAAAGGCUCUGACUGCCUUUUCACUGGCCAGCCGUAGGAAAACCUGACAACUCCGAGGCUCGGAGCCGAGACCAGCACGGGUCCGUGCACGGAGUGGCUCUGGGCUGCUGGGGAACCGGGCCCUGUUUUUGUCUGAGCGUUUUGUAAGGAUUAAGCUGAUCCAAGCUUCUGACGGCCGCACGGAGAUUCAAACAGGCCUAAAGUGCGACCCCAAGCGGCCGCGGUGCGCAAAGGCGCCCCGGACUGCUUGGUUCGGUGCGGGAAGGCUUGGACGGCGCCUCGGACCCCUGCAAGUCCUACUAGCAGACCUGACCAAGUCAGUCCUGAAGGCGGGCUGUGUGCGCCCUGGAACCCAGGACAGACCCCUCUGGAAUUAGGCACCAGGUCCUCCGAUCCCAUCUUCGGACUCAACCGCGAGCCCUCCCCUGGUUGCCCUCCCUGAAAUCUCACAUGCGAGCCUUGGAGGGGUGCUUGUGGCCUACUCCCCUCCAGGGAAGGUCCUGAGCUGGGGAGAUCGGUGUCCUAAAAUGAAAAGGCAGAGUGGAGAGGGUCCAGGGCUGGCGGGUGAGAACACUCUCCGGGGCGCAGACGGGGUGGCGGAACGCGGCGCACCGGGCUUUCAGAGAGGGCCGUAGAGCGCAGACAGACCCUCCCUGCCUCGGGCCAGAGGGGCAGGAAACGUGGGGCUUUCCUCAGACCCCGACCCCGAAACUACGAGCGAAUAGACGUGGAAUUCGUUGGAUCCGGAGAUCCGACCCGCCUCCCGCGUCGCUUUGAGCCUCCCGGCUCAGGAUGCGGAGAGCUAAGGCGCCGAAAGCUCGCUGGGUGAGUUUGUCCCGGCUGCCGGCCGGCCAGGACGUCGCGCACGGGUGUCCAGGGGCCGGCAGCCGGGACAACAAGACCGGAGUUUUGUUUUUCUCUCUCCCUAACAGUUAGAAGAAAAAGAUUUGCCUCCGAUAAAUAAGAAAACCCCCCUUUUCCUCCCGAGUCCUUAAGGAAGAUGGGGCACAGCGUGGUCUCGGGAGCCCAUUUUUAACAAAAUGGGUGUGUUUUAACUAAAACUUCACCCAGGAGGCUGAGCUUCGGGAACUGCUGAGGAAAAUCUCCCCAAACGCCUGGAGAAGCGCGCUCUGGGCAGAAAUGGUUCGGCAGCCCGAGGCAGGGAGUCUGGGCAGUUGGGCUGAACCUCCCGCAGAUGGGGACGGGCGCAGGGGACACCCACUCGCCUUGCAAGCGUCCCAGCUGCGGUGGCCCGAGGAGAGCGCACGCUCGGACUUGGGCUGAGCGAUGUGCUUUUUUGGGGCCGUUUCGGGUUGAGAGUCCCGGGUUUCUGCAAACCAGGGUUCCAGCCUCACCGCAGCAGGACUCACUGAGCACCCACGGGGGGUCGGAGGGGGGAGUCCAGCGUUCGCUCCCCCUCCUGCCCCACUCCGAGUCACCUGAGACCUAGCGCUUCCCCGAGUACGCGCCCUCCCCUCCCGGGAGCAUCAGGGAGGACAGCAGAGCUGCGCUCGCUCCCCCGCGUCUCGCUCGCCACAGAGGGCUGGAACCCACUUCUUAAGAAGGUGGCCCCAGACCAGUGAGUUGUGAAACCCCAGAAGUUGCGCUGCCCUCUCAGGGUCGGAAGGACUCAGCCUUUGUCCUGGCAGUUUUGCUUCUCUUUGUCCCCGUGACUAUCUCUGUUAGAGCCACUCUCUUUCCUAGCUAUGUCAGCGUGUCCUGCGCUCGGUCCUGUGCUCAGUUCCCCUCCCCCAACCCGUUUCCUGGGGUAGCCCCUCCUUUCAGAGAGAGAGAGAGAGAGAGAGAGAGAGAGAGAGAGAGAGAGAGAGAGAGAACUACUCCUGGAGGCCCCGAGAAUGAGGGAAGGUUGCCCCAACUAAAGGCCUUUGCCCACAGCCUAUCCCAUUUGGCGGCCCAGCCUCCCCCACUCUAAUUCCCGUGCGCGCUGCUGCAGAGUCUUGGAACUCCUGGGCUGAUGACCUUUUCCCUCUCCAGACUGCCACUGCAGUCUCGGUUUUCAUGUGCGGGUUUCUCCCGGUCCUGGGUGUUACAGCAGGACGGGACAAAGGACUGCUCCCCGACCCUGAAAGACGAGGGAGAUCGCGACGCUGCCGCGACGCCUCUUGACUGGGAGCCCCAACGCUCCCUCUGAGUUUGGUGGGAUGCUGAAAGAAGAGGAGAGCCGAGAAGCCAGGCGAAGGAGGCAGGAGGCCAGGCACCAAGGAAAGUCGGGAUCGCCAGCAGCCAGAGCCCCUGUACCGAAUAGUUCCUGUCUGCCGCCUAAACUCAUAUUUGAGAUUUUUUUCCAAUUCCGAAGCAAGCGAGCCCGGCUGCAUCAUCUUGGGACUCUUUAACAGGGAUGGGUGGACCCUGAAGGGUCCUAGACACCCGGCCUCGAGGCCCUCCCGCUCUAGGAUCAUAAGUUACUCUCCAGGACCUUAAAGAACAAGAGGCGGAGCUUGAAGUUUUCUCGGCGCUGCCCUAGUGGCACCUCUGCCAUGCCCGUCAGGGUAACCUUAGAGAUACCCAGUGGCGCGCCUUUCUGCCUGCGCUUUCAGACUAGGGCGGCGCCUGGCACCUGCGCUGAGGUGCCGGGUUCAUCCAGGCUUCCCGGAGGGCUGCAGGUGCUUAGUUGCGGGAGGAGGCGGAUCUGCAAGAGUAGGAGUUAGAUUUAUGGCACACGGGAGGAGUGUGCGUGCGUGCGUUUGUGUGUGUGUGUGUGUGUGUGUGUGUGUGUGUGUGUGUGUGUGUGUGUGUGUGUGUGUGUGUGUGUUUGUGCUGGGUGGGGAACCGCAGCUCUCUGCUUGUAGAGGUUAGGGACUCGCAGCUUCGCAGCCUCCUAGAUAGCAGGGUCCUGCUAUCCGAGGUCGUCAAGUAGAAGCCCUUGGACCCCAGGGUCCCAGGGCCUGAGUUCUACUGGGGAGGGCCUAGCGUUUGGAAACAAAAACUACAAAAGCCUGCCUUUAGACAGCGUGUCACCUACAUUUCUCUUACAAAUAGCGCUGAGGUCCGUGCUACCUUCCCAACACCCCAAGGGAAGAUGCCCUAUUGCCAGCGUUCCCUGAAAAUCUCCGGAAGUCUGUGGCUUCUAAAGGGGUGUUGAGGGCAGUCUGCCCUUCCUCUUCCGACAUUUGCCAUCACUUCCACUCAGCCCCGCCUCGCAUAACCGCCAUCAGAACCCAAAACAGCACUUCCCAAAAGGUUUUGUGCUAUUGUAGAGCCUUGUACCUCUGGCCCUGGUAGCAACGAUAGUUCUACCAUCUGCCCAUUGAGGAUGGAGGACCUCUCCAGCACAGCAGAGGAGCAGGGAUAUGUACUACCGCAGAAAUGUCCGCUUCUUUUUGCUUUGUUUUAGUCGGAGAGAAGAUUUUAGGAUGCGCCCCAGGUGCACACAUUCCGUAACCACUGGGCAGUGCGGCUUGGAAGAGAUGGGCUGUUUCUCUAUAACAUGCACUUCCAACCACACAGGAAUUUGAAAGGCCUUUUAUUCUUCACUCUGCCAUUGGAUUCUGGUAGCAGCAGCUAUAUUAUUCCUACUUUGCAUAGAUUGGUAGGCAAUUGUCUAAGAGUUUCACAUUCCUGGCUCAUCCCACACAUAAAGGAGCCCAGGAUCAUCAUCAGCUCACCCAAAGAUAGAGGGAGCCUCUCAGAGGUUAAGUGAUUCAUUUCAAUUUGCACAGAGGUAAUAAACCAGGACUUCUGACUUCAGAAUCCUGUGCACUGGAGGAAGGGUUCCUCUACCUUGAGUGGGCAGUGACCCGGGGACCCAGGUGUCUGUCUGUACAGGUCUUCUCCAGCUGCUGUUUGGAUUGGGAUUUCCAACUCCCUUCCAGACUAUUGACUGUUCUUGUCGCUGCUGAGCCUCUUCUUGAUUCUAAGAGAAGUGUUUGUCUUUUUGUGGAUGUCACAAGCAUCCCUGGGUUUCUGCCCUUCCCUGUUUGUGUGGGACUGGCAAGAAACCAAAGCAAAGAUGAAAGGUUUGCAGUCUUUCCAUCCUGACCCUUACCCUUGGCCUUCGACCGACCACUGAUGUUGGCUCUGAGUCUCAGCCCUGACUAUGAUGGUCUUGCCUGUGCUCAGAGUUAGAAUCUGUCUUAAAUAACUGGCGGUGGGGGAGAUGAAAAAUAAGAAGGGAGAGGUUCGGAAGAUAGGAGGAAAGAGGGAAGAGAGGAAGAGGAAGAGAGGGGACAGAGAAAGAGGGGGGAGAAAAGAGGUGGGAUGUGGCUUGUGGUCUUGUGAGGAGCUGAAACUGCUGAAAGCCACAGCUGAGAGAAGGAUAACCAGCGCCACUCCCUCCUCACCACACCUGAUUAUGGCAUGACCCAAAGCCACCAUUAGAGUCUGAAACCACAUCCUGGCUUUCACCUCUCAUAGCCUGACCAGAGGAGCUGUUUCCCUCCACCCCAAGAACUCUCUAGCUCUCCAUCUGGUACCUCCCCUCAUCCAAGUCACUCUGAUCCAUGGCUUAAAAGACAACACGGGCUUUGGCUAUGGACUGUUGAGUUUUGCUUUUCCAUGGAGCAAUAGAGGCAGUUAGUCUGUGGGACUGAGCGCUCUGGCUCUACCUCUCUACCCCUGAAGGAACUGAAUGUGUUUUCUCCUAGCCUGACUCCAGUUGUACUCCCCCCCCCAUAAUGCUUCAGGCAUGCCAGUUCCUUUAAGUUCCUCCACAGACUAAGCUGUUUUCUACCACAGGGGCUUUGUGCAUGACACUACCCUCUACCCAGAAUGACUUGGUUGCUUGCCUCUGAAGGAGUCUGAAAAGCAUUCACUCCUGAAUCAAGCCUCAAUCCUUCCUCCGAACAUCCAAGGACUAACCCAAGGAAUGGGGAUGAUUUGGUUCCCCUAAUCCACCGGCCUUCCUACUUGCCCUCCUUUGCCUGGGUUCUCUUCCUGCUGGAGAGCUGGUUUCUAGCUGCUGAGGAAGUGAACAGCAUCCUUCAGUUGCAAAAGGCUGAUAGAGUGGUGCCGAGGCUGUGCUGUGGCGAAGCUAACCUGGGGUCAGGAAGGAACUGCAGUGGCCACUCUAGCUCUUUUUUCCAUUUCUUCACUUUAAGAUGAAAUGUACAAGGUAAACGCACAGACCCGUUUCCUGAAGUAAAAUCUGCAGCCACAGAGUUCGUAGCAUUCGUGUCUCCAGUUUCAGCCAGCUUACUUGAGCCAGUGACCUCCAUGUCAAUACACUCACAUCUGCAUCUUUCUUUUUAAUGUACGUGCAGCAUUCUGCCCAUUGGGUGUCCUGCCAUUUUUCUUUCUUUCUUUUUUUAAAAAAGCAAGUCCCAUAUUGAUGGGCAUUUAAGGCAUUUCUAAGCUUUUCUGCUGCAAACGAUGCUGCAACUCACAGCUUUUGUACAUGUUCCUUUUAACACACGUGCAAAGCAUUUCUCUUCAAAGCAAGAAAAGGGUAGCCAGAUUGAAAGAUAGGCGUAUUAUCAAUGUUAAUAUUGUCAAAUUAGCCUCCAACAAGAUUGCACCUAUUUAAUUUCCCAUCUGAAGCUAGGAUGGUAAUCCAUCAGCAAUGGAUUUUUAUCAAGGUUUUUCAUUUUUAUGUCACUUCUGUAAGCAUUGCUGGGAGAUGAGGGCUCCUCCAUCCAGGAAAUUGCAGACCUUGCCGGUGCAGCUGGGAAGGUGUCCUGGUGAUGGUGACGGUGCAUUCACUGGUGCUAUCAGGGCUCCAGCAAAUGAUGGUUGGAGGAAAGAAGCAUGGUAGUGGCAGGCAGAGAGGGCUCCAGAGACGGGGAGAUGCUUGCCUGAGGCUUUGGAGGCUGAGUAGAAAUUUAUAAAACACAAAAGCAAGAAUACUUGACAGGAAUAGUUGUCGGAGCAAGGGCCCUGUCUUCUGGGCACUUGGGGAAAGCUGUUCCAAGGAAGCUGGAGACAGAGCCACAGACCUCUGCAAGAGCCAGCUCUCCAUGUGUCAAAGAACUGCAGUUCUGUCCCAGAAGCCAGCAAAUCAUCUCCACACAGGCAGGCAUCUUUAUGAUGUGAAGCACACAGUAGGUGCUUAAUAGUUAAUUAUGGAAAGACAAAAGAGGGCCUAAACAGUAUUUAAACAGCAUACUUCAUUCUCUUCGAUCUCUCAGUGCCAGAACUGGGAAGUUGCUUCCCUUCUAAAUGCUGGAGAGACAGUACCUACAAACCCAGCCUAGGAAUCCCCUCCUGGGUCUCAGCCCCCAUCCAGGCCUUGUGCCAGAUCCUUUCACCCCUGCCUGUUAGAGAUUGCUUUUGGUUUCUGUGUUGACAACCCUUGUUUCUGCGUUUGGAGCGGCUGUUCAGUGCCAUUUCCUGAUUUAAUAUCGGUCCCGGCACAGAGCGAGGAUGCACAGUUAGCAGAUUUUGCUCCAAGUAUUUUUCAAGCUCCCUUUUGAUGUAAGGGUUGGGCUUUCAGCUUCCCUGAUCUCAACAAGCAGGGGGGUGGGGAAGGGGGGGAAGGGAAAAGAAGGAGCUGAGGACAGGAGAUGGAGUGGAGGAGGCCAGAACCCAAGGACCCCCGCAGAGCAGACUCCCCCUAGACUCAGCCUCUCAACCCUACAUAGAGAGCUCCACAAAGACAUGGGCCAAGCUGAGGAGUCUGGGAAGAUGGACAGAGACAUCUCAGUGGCAUAAACAGAAAGACCCAGAGCUCAACAAACCAGCUCGGUGCAACUCAAAACACUAGGAGGCAAAAACAAAAUCAAUGUGGGUUCUAACAGUCCUCGGUUUUGUGUGACUUUGAUGGAACUUCUCCUGGACCCAAGGACUUCUGUGAGAUUAAGUGUAAGGCUGAAGGAAGGACUUCUUGUUCUUGCAUUAGGAACUAGCACUCUGCUAGUGCAAGGAGAAGGAAACUUAAGAAGCAGCGAUUGAUGCAUGCUCAGAGGGUCUGUGAUGCAUGCACAUACUGGAACACACACAGACCCACACUUGAGGACAGGACACGAGUAAAGACCAGCAUUUCCUGUAACCCCCCAUCAGUAUCCACGGCUACUACUGGGUUUCAUUUCUCCUCUUUGACCAUCCAUUUGCAGGGGUCUCCCUCACAGACCUUUUGUGUCAGCCUAGAUCUUCUCAAAGAAGCAAGCAAAAGAUUUACUGGGGGCUCACUGGGAGGAAAGGAGGAUGAGGGUAGAGGGAUCAGGAGGACCAGAAGGGAGGCUAUAGUCACUGGUGAAAGGAGCAAGAAGGAGAGAGGUUGGCAAAGAAGGAGCUGAAGCUGCAGCCUGGCCUGGAAGAGUUCUAACAAGCUCAUUGGGGCUGCUGAGAGUCCCUAUCUUAUGGAAGUGAGCCAGCUCAGGUGCUGAACUAUGGCCUGCAAGCAACCAGAAGUACAGCCAAGGGCCAAACACACACACACACACACACACACACACACACACACACGCCAGGGUGUCACAUAACUUGACACCAUUACAGCCAUUACUCGGGAAGGAAACCUCAGCCAGACCCUUCCUGGCCAUCCCAUCUUCCAUCUUCAGAUUGUCCUUCAGUGAGCAUCUGGCUGGAGGAGGGGACUCUCUAAGAACAAGGGCUAAGAUGCAGUUGGAAUCUCUUAUCUCAUUCGAUUCUCCUCAGUAACCAUCUAGAUAGGCAUUCUUAACACGGCUGCCACCAUUUCAUAGACAUGGAGCUAAAGUUACCAUCAACUGACUGACUUGCUAGAGGCCGAAACUACCAAGUGGCAGAGUAGGUUUGAAGGCCCUUGGACUCUAACCAUUGCUCAACAUGGCUUUGGGUAGGAAAAGGUCCAUAAAGGGAAUAUGGGAGGCUCUUUUCCCUCUGUACGCCUACCUCACCUGUUACUUAGUCUCCAGUGAAAGCUUCUCUGGUCUCCUUAGGGUCUGUGUCCACCUAUUUGCAGGCUGGCCUGCUGGUCUGCUCCAAGCAAGAGGCCCAAAAUGUUCACCAGAAUUAACCACUUUCUAACAUCCGCAUGUCUGUCUUUUUCUUAAGCGCUCCCUCCUCCAGGAAGCCCUCCCAUAGCCCCUGAUGCACAGUUUACCUAUUACAUCUCUGUCAAAUGUUGGACUUGGCCUUUCUAGAGCCAAAAAAAAAAGUUUAGAUCCAGAGUGUGGGUGCUCACAGAGGGAAGGCUGAUCCAGGACAAAAGAAAAGGACGCCCUUGGAGGGUGAGGGACCCUUGCUGAGAAAACCACAGUCUUGGCCUGUGGAAGCACAGCCUGCAGUCCAGGGCCUGACCACCAGGGGCCUCAUCACCCCUAGGCAAUGCUAAGGUUGACCCUUCCCUUCCCAGUGCCAAGUUGAGCAAGUUAAAGUCUCUGGACUCCAACUUUUCUUCAGGAAGCUACCCCAGGCCUCAGCAUCUGCUCAGCCGCCAGUGGCCCGGUGGGUAGCCCCAGCUAAGGAGGAGAGUUAUUUUUAUUUAUUUCUUCUUAAUCAUGGACUUAAUUUAGCUGCUAAUCAGGUUACCAUGGUGAUUUGCACGGGAUUUACAGCAGUUUCCUAACGCGCCUUUUUUUUCCUCACUCUUUUAGUAAACGAGUAAAAUUUGGGCACUGCAAGGAACAUUUGGGUCCCUUGCACAAAGCGACUGCCUCCUGAAUGUCCUAGAACAAGGUCACCCAUGUCAGCUUUGCGGUUCUCUUUCACCUUGCCUUGAGUGUUUAAGAGUGGGUCGUGACUCUGGGUGGACCCCAGGGACCCAAGUACUUCUUUUCUACCCUCCUCCAAAACCUUCAACAGGCCCCUGUUGCCGACCAGGUGAGGGCUGGGACUCUUGCAUUGCUCUCAAGGUCUGCCCGCCUGCCUCACUUUCCAGCCUCUCCCCGCAUGUGUAUUCGUUCCUCCGCAUCUCUGUUUGGGAUGUUCUGCCAGGCCCAGAAUAUCUUUCUCAGACAUAUGAAAGCCUUUAGUUCUUGGAGUCCUCUAGUUGAGUUCAUUCUUCCCCUCUGUAGGUGGUUCUAGCUUGUCUUUGGAGUCACCAUAUCCCAAGGUAUGACUACCAGCAGGCAUGGGAGGGGAUAUUGUGCCAGUGAAUGCAGGGGAGCAGGGCAGGGAGGCAGGAGGAGGAGGAGGACUAAGAGCUGGCAUCUUGACAGCUUGCUGUAUUUUGCUGUCUGGAAGUUCGGUUUGCAUUCCAUUCAGGCACUUGGGGGACAGGGAGAUUCAAUUCAUAUCCCCUCUUGUCUCACCCAGGGGCUCAGAAACACUCCCUUCUAGGACCAAAUUGAGUACCCCGCCCCAUCCCCCACAGGGGCCUCCGAGAAGGGACAGUGUCUCCAGAUUGGAGACCACAGUUUCCAGGAUCUCCCUGAGGACCUCAGGGCCGGCUGCCAAUCAGACCUGGGAUCAGCCACAGUCCAUUAGUGAAUGCCCCGGGUGCAAGGCGCCAACACAGCCCCCCAGGCAUUGGCGCCAGAGGCUGCCCAGGGAACCCAAAGCCACCUUCAAUCACUAUCUUGGCUUUUGCCAUCAGACAAACUGGACCAUGGACUGUAGGCUGUUUCCUAGGUGAGUACCCCCGCCCCCCAGCUCCCAGUCCAGAUAGUCCGAGCUUACAAACUAACCCCUCGCGUUGGAUUGUGGGUGUAGCCCCCCAUGGGAGGCCUGGAACCUUUGCAGAAUGCCACCCUGCUACUGGAGCAGUGUGGGUUUCUCUCUUGCUAUCCCUCCUGGGAUGCCUCACAUGUGAGGCCCUGGGAGGUGAGGUUAGCAAACAGGAAACGAACAGUCUAUGACAGGCCCCGACUGGCUGAAACCCCUCUGGCAGGCAUGGCUCUCCAACCCACUCCAGCCCCCGACCCCUCCAACCUGUAAGGACUCCUGGUCAGAACAAACCCAACCCAGUAGGUGUAGGGAUGGGAGCACAGAAGGACAAAGAGGUCCCCACACAGGUGCCCAAAGCUAGGGAAGAGUCUGGGGUUCUACUCCUAACUCAGCGGGACAUUUACUACGUGGUCUUCAGCAAGUCACUUAACCUCUCUGGAAUUCUGUUUCUUUUCGGGGGUAGGUAAAACCCCACCUAAAUGAAGACUGGGCUUUGUUCUCCAGCCCCACCUCUGCUUGCAAGCUUAUCCUCCCUGGCGGGUCUACCAACAGUGACGGGAGAAGGAAUGACUAGACAAGGUGGGAGAAGCAUGCAGUACCUGCUCCAGCCACUGGGGGCAGACUUACUCCGCCCUGUGUAUAGUUUUACCCACCAGGUGCUGGUUCCCAGUAAUGGCUUAACAAGCAUCCAGUGUGGAAAGGGGCAGGAACUUCCUCCUUUGAUAGGUCAUGAGUUGCACAGCCCUGUGCCUAAGAACACAGGCUCUGAGCCUAAUGCCAGAGUUCAAAUCCCAGGUCUGCCUUUACGAGCUGAGUAGCUUUUGAGCAAAUUGCCUACUCUGCCUGUGCCUCCUGUCCUUCCGUGGCUAAUGGGACAAACAGCAGUACCCUUACCAGGCUAGUGAUUAACUGCAGGCUGUACACUGACUGUGACCCAAGCACUUCCCUGUCUGCUACUUCUCAGUGCCAUCAUAGCAACACUCCAGGAUGCUGAAAGGCAGCAAGAUGAAACCUCUCACCUGAGCCUGCUGCUCAAAGCCAGUGCACUUGCCACCAGCCCCUGCCCAUCCCCACUUCUGUUCAAUAUGAUCGAUGUUCUCAACUGACUUGUUUUGCAAAACAAGUUCAUAUAGCAAUGGAAACAGAGACAGUAGGAGUUAAUUAAGGGCAGGGUGAACCACACAUCGAUUCUAACAUCGUUAGAAGAGAGACAACCAGACUUUAGGACACGAUUCAACAAGGAGAACGCAACACCAUCUGCUAAGGCUUCCAGCCAAAGAUCGAACGCGACGGCACCCUAACUCCCCGCUUCUGGGAAGCACUGGGGAUAGAGGAGAUCAGUGCACAGCCCAGCACGGGGUCGUCGGCCACAUCCACGGGGGAACCUAUAACCACCCAGAGAUAAGCAGGAGUUCCAACAGAAACUCAUGACAUCUUAAAAAGGAGAAGAGUGUCAUGUUUCUCUUAUCCUCAACAUGGACUAUCAGAAAGAAGUUGAAGAAGCAUGUCAAUGAAAUGCAACUGCUGAUAGCAUGGCCCAAAUACACAAAAGAUAAAAAUGUAUUUUUGAGAACGUUUGGAAAUACAUGAAUAUCAAGCAACUGUUGGAAAAGAAAAGAACUUUACUUUUGCUUUGUUAAAUGUGAUGUUAGUAUUACGUGUGAUCGAAGUUAAAAGAAAUUCUAAGUCAUGAUCUGUUAGCUAUAGCUUCUAAAAUAUUUAGGUAUAAAACAAGCUGGUACCUAGGAUUUUUUUUUCAAAUACUCCAACAAUGAGCAGGGAAACAGAAAGGCAGAGGACCAAGGCAGAGCACCAAGUAGGAGGAGCCACAGACUCAGAGUUCAGAGACAUCAGGAGUGAGCAGAGCUUGGCCCCUCAAGCUAGGAAGGACUGGAAGGCCUCUCAAGCCCUGGACUAUCCAAGGAGCAGCACAUCCUUACCUAUUCUCAGGCCCUGGGGCAAGCGAAUGUUUGCACACCACCCAGAAGACACAGUUAUUCACUCCUUUCUUCCAUGCCUCCCCUCCCCCUUCUCAAGUCAUCUAUCCAUCUAUCACUUAUUUGUUCAGUCAACACAUCUGCCUUUUGAACAUAUACUGUGUGUGAGAUGCAGAAGGGUCAUCCCAGCACCAUGGCACUGAUAGGGCAGAAGUGAGAGCCACAUGCUUGCUGAAUCUGCCAGCAUGAAAACACGUCUCUACAAAGCAUGGGAAGUCUAAGUAAGGAUAGUGGUGGGCCAUGUCGGCAUUUUAUAUGGAGGGAAACACUUGGUCUGGCCUGAGGGUUACUCAUGGACAUUCUGUCUGUAACAUUUAAAUGGAGGCUUGAAGGAUAAGAGGAUCAUGGCUAUGUGAGGAGACCAGGAAGUACACUGAGGCAAAAAGAACAAGAGCAAAUGUCCUGGGGUAGCAAGAAGCAAGGAUCUGGGGACACUAUAAAGGAGUAGCUGGGGCAGAGUGACAGAAAGGACAAGCCAAUUAAGAAGCGUUGGGUGGGGCUGAGAAUCACUAGAGAAAGUCCUUUUCCAUAAACCAUGGCACACGGAGACAGAGGCAGGGGCAGAGGCAUUGGCGCUGCUAACAGAUGCUCCUGUGGUGGAUAAAGUCAAGAACUGGAAAGGUGUGUGCUCAUGUUGUCUAGAGAAAUACUCACUUUCUUCAGGAAUCUUUUUGUUGGGGAGCAGGGUAGAGAGUAAGCCUGCACACGAGGAAGGCAAUGGCAGAGGACCAUUGGAACUACCAAAUAGUUAAGUUUUAAAAUUGGAGGAAAGGAGGUCCAGGCUCCCCUCAUGUUCUGUUUUGCAGCUAGCUCCGGUCAAAGACAAGAUAUCCUAGCCAACAUCAGGGCCACUGGACCAGUGAUUUAUGGCCCUGAGACAAAGGCUCCUAAGGAAAAGACCCAGCACAAGUCAGAUGUGUUGCUGCAACUAUUAUAACCCAUCCAUCUAUCUGAAUCAUCCUAGCAUCUGGAAAGUGGACCAGGCUGGCAUGGGCUGAAUAUGCCUUCACAUACAUCUUCAUUCAUGGCAAAUGGGCACAUGGUAAAUGGGCUGGGAAUAGAAGCCCCAUUUUUUCAGAAGAGGGCAAUGAAGGUGCUGAAAAGAAGACUCCAAGGUCAACAGCCGAGAGUGCCAACCUCAGCUCUGUUUGAGUCCCAGGUUGCAUACUUUGGUGCUGUAUGUGAAUGGCUGCCUGGGAGUUUCUGCCUGGUAUGGUUGGUUUCUUAGGGCUCUUUCUCCAGUGUUCCAAGAUUGGAAGCUCUGAUGUCCCUGUAGAGAAACAAGUGGCUUUCAAUCCCCAAUCCACUCUUAGAAGAAGAAGGAAACGGAGGAGGAGAAGGAAGAGGUGGAGGAGGAGGAGGAGUGAGAGCAAGCAAGCAAGCUGGCAUAUCCAGCAGACUUUUUCCACUCAGAUCCAAACUUUUGCUUCCUUGUCUGAAAUAUGCUUUUACAGCGACCUACAAGAGGUCAGGAAUGACAAACCCCCCCCCCAGCCUCCAAACCAUGCAAAACGUUCUGGACCCCUGUGAGAGAUGCGUGUGAAGCAGCACGUCACAGCUCAUGUGUGUCCCCAAGAGGAUCCUAGGCCCUUGGCUUCAGGAGCACCAUGCCUGACUCAGCUCUGUGGUCCCAGCAGUCUGGCUGAGAGGCAGAUGAUGAUGACUGUCUGCUGAACAACAGGACAGACCUUUGGCACUGUAGAUUUCACAACAAACCCAACUUGAGAAGGAGAAAUGAAAAGACGGGGGGAAGCUGAAGGGAUAAUAUUCAUUGUCAAAAGCAGGCUACAAAAUCAUAUUUCAAAAACGCACAUAAAUGUAGCAUUCGUUUAAUCGUAUAUGAGAUCAUGCAAACACAUGAGCACAGCAAACGUUCUAGAUAAAAAUGCAAGCCAAAUGUUAGUGGUCAUAUUUCUGUGUGGUUGGCUUCUGUGUGAUCUUAUUUAUUUAUUUUUUACUUUACCCUCCAAAGUUGUAUUAAAAAGAACAUACGGAAUUCCAACUAAUAGGACAAAUCCACCACUAUUUCAUUUGAUAACUGUCUUGAAAAAAUAUCCAAGUUUGGGGUAUUGCCUGCUUUCCUAAACCAAGAUAGCUGCUGAGUGCCAGCCAGGGCCCUGACAGUCUGUGAGCGUGGUGGAGCAGCCAUGAUGCUGCAGACUCUAGAGCUCACCAGAUUCACACCAGAAGCCUCCAGCCAGGUCCCUGCCCAGGAUGCAGAGAGCAGAUGCCAGGUCUAACGGCUAUCCGCCAAGUCCCCCGGCAUCACCAAGUACAUUUCCACGACUCUUCUCUCCAUCUCGCGUCAGUAAAUCAAAGCCCAUCUCAUACACAAGGUGGGCCUUUUCUGGUAAAACACAAAAAAACUUAAUCUUUGGUCCAGAAGCAGUAGAUUGCGGCAGCAAGCCGGCAGCCAAAACCAUUAAUCUUUGCCGCGUUCCCCAACUGGCCCGAGCAGUAAAGAAGAUAAUACCCCAGCAGAAUCAGUGACCCACUACAAAUUGGUCCUGAAAGGUCCACCAGCAUAAAUAGACUUUUGCUGAUCCAACACUUGUUAGGAACCCCAACAAAGAGACUAUUGGCUCAUCUGAUGAGCCGCCUGCAAUGGGCCCUUGCAAUGGCUUGUGAUGGAUGACCACCCUCCCUUGAAGGGGAAGAUGCAGCUCCUGGUAUGGGGCCCUUUCUCAUCUUAAAUUUGUCCUCAAUAAAUCACAGGUGCAGAGAA